This 111-nucleotide ribosomal RNA is filed under the name Pogona vitticeps (central bearded dragon). The record is from RNAcentral. Lineage: Eukaryota; Metazoa; Chordata; Lepidosauria; Squamata; Agamidae.
CCAUGCACACCAUCUUCACAUCCAAUCUCAUCUGAUUUUAGAAGCUGAACAGGGUUGGGCCUGGUUAGUACUAGGAUGGGCAAUGCCACUGAUAUCCAGGCCAUUUUAGGA